Long non-coding RNA from Gossypium arboreum, 469 nucleotides. RefSeq lists it as uncharacterized. The record is from RefSeq and is a predicted model, not a curated record. The transcript is spliced from 2 exons. Lineage: Eukaryota; Viridiplantae; Streptophyta; Magnoliopsida; Malvales; Malvaceae.
CGGUGCCGUUUUUUUGCUUCCUCAUAAAGGCCAAAUCAUGCCUUUAUUCAGCCAAACAGACACCAAAGAACCCUAGCCUCUCUAUUUUAUCCUUUCAGCCGAAAUCCAACAUUCCCCUAGGAGCCGAUCGGCCACCAUGAACGGCGACCAAACCGUCCGAGCCUCAGACCCGUUUUUUUUCCGUUUUAGACCCUUUCUUUACUCCGAUUUCGACGAAGAAGAAGAAGUCUUAUGGCAUAUUUACGAAGGUUGGGAGGAGGGUCAACGAGAGGGGCUUCCGUUUUGGUGCAAAGGACGGGCAAAGCCUAUCCUCGAGUGUCGAAUGCGCUGCUGAAGCACAUGGGCAGUAGAGGGGAGGCGCGGCGCUGAGGCUAGCUAGGGUUUCGGUUAGCUGAGACCCAAUUUGGACAUUGGGCCUAUUGGGCCGAUUGGGUUAGGGGUUUAGGGUCUGUUUGUAAAAUGGGUAGGA